This 441-nucleotide ribosomal RNA is filed under the name uncultured bacterium. Its description in RNAcentral is "partial 16S ribosomal RNA". It matches the Rfam family "Bacterial small subunit ribosomal RNA", at positions 338 to 795 of the family's 1533-position model. The record is from RNAcentral.
CCUACGGGAGGCAGCAGUGGGGAAUAUUGCGCAAUGGGGGCAACCCUGAUGCAGCAACGCCGCGUGAUUGAAGAAGGCCUUCGGGUUGUAAAGUUCUUUCAUCGGGGACGAAUUUUGACGGUUUCCGACGAAUAAGCUCCGGCUAACUACGGGCCAGCAGCCGCGGUAAAACGUAGGGAGCAAGCGUUAUCCGGAUUUACUGGGUGUAAAGGGCGUGUAGGCGGGCAUGCAAGCCAGAAGUGAAAUCUGGGGGCUUAACCCCCAAACUGCUUUUGGAACUGGGUGUCUUGAGUGAUGGAGAGGCAGGCAGAAUUCCCGGUGUAGCGGUGAAAUGCGUAGAGAUUGGGAGGAACACCAGUGGCGAAGGCGGCCUGCUGGACGUUGACUGACGCUGAGGCGCGAAAGCGUGGGGAGCAAACAGGAUUAGAUACCCGAGUAGUC